This 341-nucleotide unclassified non-coding RNA is filed under the name Apioperdon pyriforme. Its description in RNAcentral is "Lycoperdon pyriforme partial internal transcribed spacer region". The stretch from base 1 to 46 matches the Rfam family "Eukaryotic small subunit ribosomal RNA", at positions 1786 to 1831 of the family's 1831-position model. The record is from RNAcentral. Lineage: Eukaryota; Fungi; Basidiomycota; Agaricomycetes; Agaricales; Lycoperdaceae.
AAGUCGUAACAAGGUUUCCGUAGGUGAACCUGCGGAAGGAUCAUUAUUGAAUAUUCCUGAUGAGUUGUAGCUGGCUCUUUGGAGCAUGUGCACGCUUGUCUUGAUCUUAUUCAUCCACCUGUGCACAUUUUGUAGUCUUUUGGGCUGAGUCGAGUAUCGGAUGGAUGUCUAUCCGGAUGUGAGGACUGCUGAGUGCGAAAGCAUACGGCUCUUCUCUGUUUGACCUCACCCUUGAGUACUAUGUAUUCAUAUACCACAUAGUAUGUUGUAGAAUGUGAUCAUUGGGCCUUUGUGCCUAUAAUAAUCAUAUACAACUCUCAGCAACGGAUCUCUUGGCUCUC